CGCGUUCCCAUACCGAACACGACCGUUAAGCCCUCCAGCGCCAAUGGUACUUGGACCGCAGGGUCCUGGGAGAGUAGGACGUCGCCAAGC
RNAcentral lists this ribosomal RNA (90 nucleotides) under Paenibacillus harenae. Lineage: Bacteria; Bacillati; Bacillota; Bacilli; Caryophanales; Paenibacillaceae. The record is from RNAcentral.